GACGAACGCUGGCGGCGUGCCUAAUACAUGCAAGUAGAACGCUGAAGGAGGAGCUUGCUUCUCCGGAUGAGUUGCGAACGGGUGAGUAACGCGUAGGUAACCUGCCUGGUAGCGGGGGAUAACUAUUGGAAACGAUAGCUAAUACCGCAUAACAGUAGAUAUUGCAUGAUAUCUGCUUGAAAGGUGCAAUUGCAUCACUACCAGAUGGACCUGCGUUGUAUUAGCUAGUUGGUGAGGUAACGGCUCACCAAGGCGACGAUACAUAGCCGACCUGAGAGGGGGAUCGGCCACACUGGGACUGAGACACGGCCCAGACUCCUACGGGAGGCAGCAGUAGGGAAUCUUCGGCAAUGGACGGAAGUCUGACCGAGCAACGCCGCGUGAGUGAAGAAGGUUUUCGGAUCGUAAAGCUCUGUUGUAAGAGAAGAACGAGUGUGAGAGUGGAAAGUUCACACUGUGACGGUAUCUUACCAGAAAGGGACGGCUAACUACGUG
RNAcentral lists this ribosomal RNA (495 nucleotides) under uncultured bacterium. RNAcentral's name for it is "partial 16S ribosomal RNA". It matches the Rfam family "Bacterial small subunit ribosomal RNA", at positions 28 to 507 of the family's 1533-position model. The record is from RNAcentral.